This 490-nucleotide ribosomal RNA is filed under the name uncultured bacterium. Its description in RNAcentral is "partial 16S ribosomal RNA". It matches the Rfam family "Bacterial small subunit ribosomal RNA", at positions 30 to 507 of the family's 1533-position model. The record is from RNAcentral.
AUUGAACGCUGGCGGCAGGCCUAACACAUGCAAGUCGAACGGUAACAGGAAGAAGCUUGCUUCUUUGCUGACGAGUGGCGGACGGGUGAGUAAUGUCUGGGAAACUGCCUGAUGGAGGGGGAUAACUACUGGAAACGGUAGCUAAUACCGCAUAACGUCACAAGACCAAAAAGGGGGACCUUCGGGCCUCUUGCCAUCGGAUGUGCCCAGAUGGGAUUAGCUAGUAGGUGGGGUAACGGCUCACCUAGGCGACGAUCCCUAGCUGGUCUGAGAGGAUGACCAGCCACACUGGAACUGAGACACGGUCCAGACUCCUACGGGAGGCAGCAGUGGGGAAUAUUGCACAAUGGGCGCAAGCCUGAUGCAGCCAUGCCGCGUGUAUGAAGAAGGCCUUCGGGUUGUAAAGUACUUUCAGCGGGGAGGAAGGGAGUAAAGUUAAUACCUUUGCUCAUUGACGUUACCCGCAGAAGAAGCACCGGCUAACUCCGUG